GCCUGGCUGGCUCAGUCGGUGGAGCGUGUGGCUCUUGAUCUCAGGGUUGUAAGUUCGAGCCCCAUGUUGGGCG
RNAcentral lists this transfer RNA (73 nucleotides) under Ailuropoda melanoleuca (giant panda). It matches the Rfam family "tRNA". From Rfam's summary of the family: Transfer RNA (tRNA) molecules are approximately 80 nucleotides in length. Their secondary structure includes four short double-helical elements and three loops (D, anti-codon, and T loops). Further hydrogen bonds mediate the characteristic L-shaped molecular structure. tRNAs have two regions of fundamental functional importance: the anti-codon, which is responsible for specific mRNA codon recognition, and the 3' end, to which the tRNAs corresponding amino acid is attached (by aminoacyl-tRNA synthetases). tRNAs cope with the degeneracy of the genetic code in two manners: having more than one tRNA (with a specific anti-codon) for a particular amino acid; and 'wobble' base-pairing, i.e. permitting non-standard base-pairing at the 3rd anti-codon position. Lineage: Eukaryota; Metazoa; Chordata; Mammalia; Carnivora; Ursidae. The record is from Rfam by way of RNAcentral.